CCUGACCUUACAGGCAUUGCAGAUGUGACUGCUGUGUCACAUGUCCACCAGUAGGUGGCACAGAGGAGAAAGGCUGUGUUUACAUUCAGUGCUCUGCCCUAUGAACAUCUAAAUGCUUAGUAGCUAACAUC
Small nucleolar RNA from Mastomys coucha (southern multimammate mouse), 131 nucleotides. RefSeq annotates it as small nucleolar RNA SNORA17. The transcript has a single exon. The record is from RefSeq and is a predicted model, not a curated record. NCBI's taxonomy places the organism in Eukaryota, Metazoa, Chordata, Mammalia, Rodentia, Muridae.